Molecule: ribosomal RNA, 433 nt
Filed under: uncultured bacterium
Lineage: Bacteria
Description: partial 16S ribosomal RNA
Rfam family: Bacterial small subunit ribosomal RNA
Source: RNAcentral
AACGAACGCUGGCGGCAUGCCUAACACAUGCAAGUCGAACGAUGCCUUCGGGCAUAGUGGCGCACGGGUGCGUAACGCGUGGGAAUCUGCCUCUCGGUUCGGAAUAACUCAGGGAAACUUGAGCUAAUACCGGAUAACGUCGCAAGACCAAAGAUUUAUCACCGAAAGAUGAGACCGCGUAGGAUUAGCUAGUUGGUGAGGUAAAGGCUCACCAAGGCGACGAUCCUUAGCUGGUAUGGGAGGAUGAUCAGCCACACUGGCGCGAGGACGCAGCAGAGAAUCCUACGGGAGGGGGGAAAGGGGGAUGGUGGAACGUGGGGGGAGGCAUGAAGCAGCACGGACGGGAGAAUGAUGAAAGCAGGGAGGAAGAAAUGCUCAAUUACCCGGGAAGAUAAUGACGGUACCGAAAGAGUAAGCCCCGGCUAACUACGUG